UUCAGGCUCACAUCAGAACAGAGCUCAUGUUUGCUGAAAGCACGCUGAGUUCACUUCACUAAAUGGCAGGAACUGAAUUAAGAGAAACAGUUGAAGCUGGAAGUCCAAAAGUGAACAUAGGAUUUUCCAGGGUGAAAAAGGCUCUAAAGAGACAAAUACAAGCAGGCCACCCGCCCGGUCGUUUUGGACAAGUGCCAUUUAGCAAAGCCUAAGGAAGGCUGCAGACCAGAACUGUUCUUCAGACCAGAUAGAAAUCUAUUAAAACUGCUGGAUUUUUUUAACUGCUUUUAUGG
This is a long non-coding RNA of Neopelma chrysocephalum (saffron-crested tyrant-manakin), 293 nucleotides long. RefSeq lists it as uncharacterized. Lineage: Eukaryota; Metazoa; Chordata; Aves; Passeriformes; Pipridae. The record is from RefSeq and is a predicted model, not a curated record. The transcript has 3 exons.